This is a long non-coding RNA of Passer domesticus (house sparrow), 3310 nucleotides long. RefSeq lists it as uncharacterized. The transcript has 2 exons. The record is from RefSeq and is a predicted model, not a curated record. Lineage: Eukaryota; Metazoa; Chordata; Aves; Passeriformes; Passeridae.
UCCUUACCUAGGAAAUAGACAUUAUGGAUAGGCAUUACACAAUAGUCAGCUGGUUUUUCAACAGCCAAGCCUAAGUCCCCACUCAUUCACAGUAACCUAACGCCUGACAUCACAAUUCCUCGUGUUCAUAAACACAUUGGUUGAUCUUGAAGGGUUAAAGGUUGCUGCAUGUUAGACGACUGUCAGAGAUUGUACAUUGCAAUCACUAUGUAAACUAAUUGUAUUCUAUUUAGAAUAACACUUUUUUUUCAUUAGUUAGAAGCUGGAAGAAAAUGAGACAUUUGUGAAGAAUUUAAAACUGCUUCAUAAAAAUUUCAGCUCUUCAAGUCCUGUCAUGAACAUGUAUCUCAACUGCUUAAGGAGUCAGGAAUAUAAGAUAGAGAGCACAAGCAACACCCAUCAGCUUGAAGUUCUCAAAAAGUCAUUUAGAAGCAUUAAAUGUAUCUAAGCAAGCAUACUGCAUUUCAUAUCCAAGAGUUCUGAGUAUUGGUCAGAAUUUCCCAGUUUUUAGCAGGGAUUGACUUAAUAUAUAUAUGAAACACUUUCAUUUCCUUGUUCAGCUAUACUUUUCUAGGGCUACAGGAGAUUUUUCACCUCUGAAUACAGCUUGUAGACAAAACUCUGUUGCUCCUCCCCUCCAAGUGAAUUUGCUGCUCUCAGAGUCCAAGGGCAGCGGUGUCACUGUGGAGUCCUGGGCAAAGAACUAAGGUCCACUUGAGUGUAUUUUACACAUUUCUUCCUUCAACCUCUUCACCCUGUUUUCCUUGUCUAAAUUUCUCUGCAAGUGAGUACUGAGCUCUGUGAAAGUGACCUGGGAGGGUCUCACAAGGAAACAACCUUCUUAAAAAAGAUGGGUGGAUGUCCACAUCUCUCAAACUGCAUCUGGAGCUAAGAGUCUCUUCUAGCAUCCAGUGAAAGUACUCCCUGCUCCCGUGACCCAAACACAUACUUUUGGUGCCAUGACUACUGUUCAACAGUCAUUUUUCGAUCGAAAAGGGAUGUCUGCUGAUUUGGCAACCCAAUUCUGAAGCUUUUGCCUGGAAAACAUUAAACUACUGAAGUAAUUAUUUACAUACUAAGUAUUAAAACAAAACCAGCCUGCAUUACAAGAGCACUGUUUCACCGUGAUUGGUUCACUAACUUUUUUUGUUAAUAAGCAACAUGAGACAGACUGUACAUCCAGUCUCUUUCUUUUUAAUGCAUUGAUACAAUCACUGACUUUAAAAAUAAUUAAAAAUGCUCUUCAGUAAGGGAAGACACAAAUAAGUUUUCUGUCACUUUAUUACACUAAGUGCAGUUACUAUCACAAUACUCUCCACAGACAGGCUAAAAUAGCAUUUGGAAAGCUAUGAGUUUUUAAACAAUAUGUUACAGCUUGGAAAAGUUUCAGGAUGUUUGUCCAUAUCUCUGUAUCUAAACGUACACAGGCACCUGAAAGUACAGUGAAAGUAUGUCCAUUAAAAUGUAUUUGAUUUUUUUUUAAGUGAAAACCUGUUUUAAAAUUUCAAGUUCAUAAUUCAAUAUUUAGGGUUCUAGAACUCUGUCUGUAAGGCAGGCACACUUUUAUCCAGAAAAGGCUGAUGGAGCUUUUUCCUGCAGUAUCUCAUAGGACUUAACAAUAUACACAUACAUGCAACCUUUCCUUCUCUGCAGUUUCCUAAGUGAUUAGGCAGAAAUUAGAAGAGGCUUAACCCAAGUGCAGAUUAUGGCUCCAAUUCAGCAAACAAUUAAGGCACAAUUGUGAGGAGCUAACCUGAGUUUACCUAAAAGCUCCACAGAAGUCAUUGAAACAGUUUCUGAUGCAUGAUCUGUACAGUCAUAAAAUUUCUUCUGGAAAAACCCACUAAAACCAUAACAUCAAAGGAUGUGAACUGGACCCAGAGUGAAGCUGUGAGAGUGAAUAACCUCUGGUAGCUCCCCCAGACUCAGUUACACUGGUAUGUCUGUGCUUCUAGGAAAGCUCCAGAGCCAGGCAGCUGAAAUCGGGGCUGCUAGCAUGCUCCCCUUACAUAAAAAUGUAAGAGCAAGGCAUAGAGUCAUACUGACCCUACAACGAGUAUUUAAGUGCUUAAAGAUAACCACUUGCCUGCUGUAUUAGAACAGAGCUGAAAAUAGAACACAUCAUUUGGUAUCUUUGCUCAAAUCCUACUCCCACGUUAAUUCAAAUGAGCUUCCUGAUCUCCCCUGUAGUACCUGGAGAGCAGUUGCUCAUACCAGAGCAAUCAGAACUGAAAGAAAGCUAGUAUUCACCAAUUCUUCACCAGAACAUUGCUAACAGUCUUCAGUUUGGGGACAGAAAUGUCAUUAUUCUCAGCCUUAUCUACAGAUACUUGUAUUAGCAUAUCAUUCACCACUGUAGUUUAGCCUGUCCUGCUAUUUUCCUUCACAAACGGGUUUCCAGCUGUCUCAAACCAGCUCCAUACCAUAUAAAACACAUACCUCCAUUAAGGUAACAUUUAAUUCUUAAAUCAGCUCAAGAACUGUGAUUUGCAUACAAUCCAUUAAAAUUCAUUGGUUUAUGAAUAAUUAAUUUCCAUUCUAACACUGUUUUAAAAGCAUGAACAGUAACAUAUUAAAAGGCAUUGUCACUCUUGGACAGGAAAUGUCAAAAGAGCAGAUACUAAGUUAAGAAGCAAUUACUAUGUUAAAAUCAGAAUUUCAUUUAUUGCGUGGCAUUUCAAUUAUUCCUAUGGAUAUUAGCUAUCCGAGUAGGAAAACACCUAGUGUUCAGCCAUCCUGAAUAUCAUUAACAAUUACUGAUCUUUCUGACCCUCAUUCAAUUUCUGUAAUCACUUGAUGGUGUAUUGAAAUGAGAGAGACUUAUAAAGCCAAAUUGGACUGUUAUAGUCAUAAAGAAAUCAUCACCUAUCAAAGUUCUUAAAUUUAAAGAGACUGAUUUUUUUUAAUAUUGUUUGGUCAACUUGCUUGAAUGCAAAGCAGUAGAUAAACACAAUGAAUACUUGUAGGUGGGUAUGCUGAAGUAUAGAGUAACUAACCUUGUUUUUCCAAGGUUCCAGGUGAUGACAAGCCUGUGAAAAAAAGCACUGAUAUUCAAUUCCCAAGACAUUACUAUAAUUAACUGCCUGAGACACAGCCUGUAGACAAGUAAACUGAAAUUCAGACUUAAAGAGUUAAUUUUACCUAGGGUCAAACUUGUUUGUAGCUCCUCCAGCUACUGAACACUGAGUGGAACUCCAGUUAUUGGCUUUGUGUUUUCAGUUUCUCACCAAUAACAAUUCUGAUGAAUUUUUCUGUACUGUGGAUUCAAUCACAUACUUGGCAAAGAUGCUGACAGAGAAUUCUAUCUAGA